Ixodes scapularis (black-legged tick) is the source of this 192-nucleotide long non-coding RNA. RefSeq lists it as uncharacterized. The record is from RefSeq and is a predicted model, not a curated record. NCBI's taxonomy places the organism in Eukaryota, Metazoa, Arthropoda, Arachnida, Ixodida, Ixodidae. The transcript is spliced from 3 exons.
GGGACCUCGAGUACAGGCGGGAGAUACCCUAUACAAAGCAGGGAUCUACUUUUUCGGCCGUGCCACCCCGUGUCCGCAUCAGCGCGGUGCUGCCGGAGUUUCCCUGCGUGAGGGACAUGGUGCUGCCCAAGGAGGCCGACGCCGACAAGAUGGACACCUUCUUGACCAUGUACCGAACCCACUGCCAGCGAG